This 891-nucleotide long non-coding RNA is filed under the name Equus caballus (horse). RNAcentral's name for it is "lncRNA (ENSECAG00000032793.2)". The record is from RNAcentral. Lineage: Eukaryota; Metazoa; Chordata; Mammalia; Perissodactyla; Equidae.
AAAAGAACGGCCACGUCUUCUUGAUGACUUUCCCCAACACAAGAGUGUGUGCACUUUAAGUUUUGACAGAUGGUGCCAGAUUGUCACCUGAAAGGAAUGUGCCCGUAUACAUUUCCCCAUCCACUCCAAUACUGGCCCCAGUGAAUCCUCAGUGAGUGAGUGGAGCCUCAGUGAAUUUCUGCCAAGUUUUCUUAGUGGCUGCAAAGGAUUCUUAAAACAAAUGGCAUGCCCCAUUGCCACUGCUGACCAGUACUCCAGAAUCAGAACAACACAGCCUCGUUCAGAAAAAGUUAUCAGAUAGGAGAGCAGAGCGGGGGGAGAGAGAACAAGAACAAUAGAGAAAGCCUAGAGAGAGACAAGUGGUGAAGUUUGAAUUCCUGAGUGGUGUAAUUUUGAAUUUCAUACCUACUAAAAAGAGGUGCCCUGGUCCAUCAAUGAGAGAGAAUGUAGCAGUUCCAGGAUUUGCUGUGGUCCUCGUGAGCGCUCUCCACCCAGGCAGUGGCCGUGAAGAGUUAGAGUGGAGAAGCCGUGGUAGCAUCAUAGCUCUGCACUGGAUCGGCAACCAGGGUAAAUCUAUUCCUCAACAUCCCCCUGUAGCAGCAUUCUGAUAAAUGAGUAAAGGAAACACCCACGUCUAUAAUUCUCUCACUCCCCUGUGGAGAUUACACAGCUGGCAGACGGACUCGGUCACCACACUCUCGCGCCUCGCCUGUACAAACUGAAUCGUCAGUGCACAGUUCAGAUUUAAGUGAAUGAAGUGCUCCUGGGACUCUCUUUGGAUAGAUGACUACAACGUGCUAUUGCUCCUCUGCCAUGAAAUUACUGACAUAAACAGACUUUCCUGUCCUGGCCUCACUCUCCUCAGUCAUUAUGCUGCUCCAGGCUGCCCAC